Molecule: non-coding RNA, 27 nt
Filed under: Rattus norvegicus (Norway rat)
Lineage: Eukaryota; Metazoa; Chordata; Mammalia; Rodentia; Muridae
Source: RNAcentral
UGUGAAUGAAGUCUCUGGAACCCAUCC